Molecule: long non-coding RNA, 1203 nt
Filed under: Chrysemys picta bellii (western painted turtle)
Lineage: Eukaryota; Metazoa; Chordata; Testudines; Emydidae
Description: lncRNA (ENSCPBG00000018080.1)
Source: RNAcentral
UUUGGUUAUUGAUAAAACAUUAUUAUCAGGAACUCAUUGGGAUAUUGAACAGCAUAACAAACAUAUUGUGUAUUGCCACCCUACAUGGAUAGGCAAUGACGCCACCCAGUGCCCCACCCUCUGCUACUAUUUUGUUCUAUUUCAUUUAGGAUGAAGGCUCCAUUGAAUGCCGGACCACGUGUCCGCAGCCAAUUUGUCGCAUCCCUCUGGCCCCUCACAUACUUCUUCAUCCCAGGUGAAGGCUCCUUAUCUGUCACAAAGCCACGUCAUUCCUCAUCCAGCAGAUGGUGUUUUCUCCCUUAAGGACCAAGGGCAACAGCAGGAGCCCUGUUCCCCAACCUGAUUUGAAAUUUAUGCUGAUGAAACAAGAGAGAUUUUAAUAUAUGAUGGAAGGAAGUUGGAUUAACAUUGAUCUUCCUGGAAGGUGAGAUCAUAAAGUGUUAAUGUAGAUUAUGGCCUAUAGGGAGAUAGGAGCAACAAGAGAGAAUGGCUCUACUGAUGCUAAUGUUUCUUUCAAUUCAUAUUUUAGGAUGAGUGCUCCAUCAUAAGCCAAUUUAACUGGUGAUCCUCUUUUGCUUGCCCCUGUACUACCAAGGCUCAGCUCUUCAUUCUUUAUGAAGCUUUCCUCGAACAGAGUGCACCUGCUGCCCCAGAGACCCAUUGUACAUUGUAUGACAACUCUGAUGCUCACAUUCAAUCAUUGGCCCCAUAAAGUUUGGCCUGGCCAUGAAAUCAUAAUCCCCUUUCCCUCUUCAGUGAGUAUUCAAGUUCUCUUUAAUAUUAGCUUGUGCAUACAUUAAGGAUGGUGUGUGGGAGAGGCUCUGUAAGAACUCAAAUGCAUAUAAGGAAUAGUGCUGCCACCUUCCUGAAAAUGCAGGACAGUUCUCUCAUUCCGGGCAUUGUAAGAAAGCUCCACCUUCUCUCUCUCACCUUGGGCACUGUCUGACCACUAAAUAGUCCCAGCAAUGACUCCACAUCUUAACAUCUAUAAUUAGUGAGAAUUGUCUUACUCUUCCCCCUCAUUUAUAUAGUUCCAAUGGUGCUUUACAGAGAAGGAUCGAGGCAAGAUCCCUGCUUGGAGACUCUACAAUCUCUGCAGACAAUGAACUGGUGAAAAAUGUAAAGCCCAUUAUUCCCCUCCCUAUAGUUCUUUGUCUGCUAUUCCUGCCUCCUCAACCACAGCAAAGAGUCUUCUAUUUAUUG